UUAUAAGUGUGAGCCACCAUGCCCGGCCUAGGAUAUUUUUCAUUGGAACUUAUAUUUGAUCAGUGUGGGCAUGAUCAGGGGACCAUAGCUGUGGGCUCACCUGGGUCCCUAUUGCACUGAGUGACACUGAACAUGUUGCUUCCACUAUCUUGGCCUGCCUCAGUUUCCCUCUCUGUAAAAAAGGAGUGGUUGAACUAGCAGAUCUUGAGAGUCCUUGCAAUUAGCUCUCAUACUGAUGAAAUGCUCUCUGGAAAAUGUAGGAGACCUAUUUAGAUGUGAAUGUUACUAUUAGUCAGUCUGGGCUAGGCUGUACAGUGUAUAACUGACGAACCCUGACAUCUCGGUGGCUUAGCACAAUAAUGACAUAUUUCUCCCUCACAUAAAAUCUGUUGCAUCAUCUGGAACACGCGUCCUCCACGUCCUGAGGCAGGGGAGAGAACGACGAAGAAGGCACUUUGGCUCUGACCGCCUCUGCCUGGAAGUACAGUUUCCAUUCACGUUCUGCUGGUCAAAGGAGUCACGUGGCUCCACCCAGCCACAAGGGAGUCUGGGAGGUGGAAGGAGCCCUUGGAAUAUGUGGUCAUGUGAGGACAGAGUGAGAAGGUGGCUGCCUGCAAGCCAGGAAGAGAGAUCUCACCAGGAACCAAAUCAGCCACCACUUUGAUCUUGAACUUCACGGCCUCCAGAACUCCGGACAUGAGAAAUAAAUGUCUGUUGUUUAAGGUCAGUCUUGCCAUGAAAACAUUUUGAAGCAGCCCAGGGGCCGGCAGAUCGGCCAGUGGAGUGGGAGUGAUGGGGGGAGAUUUGUGAGCAGGGGCCAGGUUAGCAGUGGUUUUAUUACAUCCCAUUAAGCAUAUGGUCAUAAUUAUAAUAAGCACAUGAG
Long non-coding RNA from Homo sapiens (human), 883 nucleotides. RefSeq lists it as uncharacterized. The record is from RefSeq and is a predicted model, not a curated record. NCBI's taxonomy places the organism in Eukaryota, Metazoa, Chordata, Mammalia, Primates, Hominidae. The transcript has 3 exons.